RNAcentral lists this ribosomal RNA (429 nucleotides) under Actinomycetes bacterium. Its description in RNAcentral is "Actinobacteria bacterium partial 16S ribosomal RNA". It matches the Rfam family "Bacterial small subunit ribosomal RNA", at positions 355 to 776 of the family's 1533-position model. The record is from RNAcentral. Lineage: Bacteria; Bacillati; Actinomycetota; Actinomycetes.
UAGGGAAUCUUCCGCAAUGGGCGAAAGCCUGACGGAGCAACGCCGCGUGAGUGAUGAAGGUCUUCGGAUCGUAAAACUCUGUUAUUAGGGAAGAACAAAUGUGUAAGUAACUAUGCACGUCUUGACGGUACCUAAUCAGAAAGCCACGGCUAACUACGUGCCAGCAGCCGCGGUAAUACGUAGGUGGCAAGCGUUAUCCGGAAUUAUUGGGCGUAAAGCGCGCGUAGGCGGUUUUUUAAGUCUGAUGUGAAAGCCCACGGCUCAACCGUGGAGGGUCAGUGGAAACUGUAAAACUUGAGUGCAGAAGAGGAAAGUGGAAUUCCAUGUGUAGCGGUGAAAUGCGCAGAGAUAUGGAGGAACACCAGUGGCGAAGGCGACUUUCUGGUCUGUAACUGACGCUGAUGUGCGAAAGCGUGGGGAUCAAACAGG